This 372-nucleotide ribosomal RNA is filed under the name uncultured organism. RNAcentral's name for it is "bacterial SSU rRNA". It matches the Rfam family "Bacterial small subunit ribosomal RNA", at positions 526 to 896 of the family's 1533-position model. The record is from RNAcentral.
CGGAGGGUGCGAGCGUUGUCCGGAAUCACUGGGCGUAAAGGGCGCGUAGGCGGCCUGAUUAGUAGGGGGUGAAAUCCUGCGGCUUAACCGCAGGGCUGCCUUCUAAACUGUCAGGCUGGAGCACAGUAGAGGCAGGUGGAAUUCCCGGUGUAGCGGUGGAAUGCGUAGAGAUCGGGAAGAACAUCAGUGGCGAAGGCGGCCUGCUGGGCUGUUGCUGACGCUGAGGCGCGACAGCGUGGGGAGCAAACAGGAUUAGAUACCCUGGUAGUCCACGCCGUAAACGAUGGGCACUAGGCGUCGGGGGGAGCGACCCUCCCGGUGCCGUCGCUAACGCAGUAAGUGCCCCGCCUGGGGAGUACGGCCGCAAGGCUG